CCGACCAUUUCUAAAACUUACUUUUCCUUAUAUUGCGAAAGAAGAAGACAUGAGUUCGUCCCUUCGGGGACAUCCGAUAAAAUUGGAACGAUACAGAGAAGAUUAGCAUGGCCCCUGCGCAAGGAUGACACGCACAAAUCGAGAAAUGGUCCAAAUUUUUUUCCCACAUUUUUGGAUUUGUUGUUCUUUCUGCAACUUAGGUCCUUCUACGUUUCAGAUUUGUUCUUAACUGGGUUUUUUAUUGGAACACACAAUCUGAGCCUCUGAGGUACCAUAGAGCAGCUGUUGAGAUAAAGAGGCCUCUCAAGUUGCCCCUGACAGAUGGCAUUCAACGUGUGUUUUGGCAUGUAAUACAGGGCUGUAAAAGUUCUUGAUGUUCUGGCUCCUAUUGGGCUGCAGGUUGCUCUCAUCAAUGUCAAUCUGAAGCAUGGGCUUUUGAUGCUGGGGUCCCUGAAGUAAUCGAAGUCUUGGGUACGAUGGUGGUCGAUUUAUAAGGAGUGCGGAGAGUCUAGUCGAUGAUAAGUAAAUAAGGCACCGCAUGCGGAAAGCUGAGUUGUGCUUCGGCCAUCUUCCACAUUCAAACUGUUGACCUUUAAUGAGGCUUAAUAUCAACUUGGUCAGUGAGGACCUAGGAGCUGUAGUUCGCUCUAGUACUAGAAUGCCAGCACUACAGUGUGUGAAGGUUCCAAAUUUGAGCUGAAAGUCUGAGUUUAUACAGAAAUUAUCAGUUUUAGUACUCGAUUAAAUUCUCUGUUGCCCAAUGCCAGAACAAGGACCUGAGUGGUUCCUUCUUUGGUGACUAGAGCUACUUGUACAGCAUGGCCACCAGAAGUUGUCGAUGCUCCACUUAUUUAUAUAUCCAUUGGAGAAAGCAGUAUUCUUUUUAAGGUACAUGAACAAGAUGAAAACAUGGCAACUUCCUUCACUGGACUAUUCAUGUUCAUCACUUUGGUCAAGUAUGUUCUGAUCAUAUUACCAGAUGAUGUGUAUUCAUUGUUUUCAUUCUCUUGUAGUCAUCAGCUUCCUCUUAGUAUAUCUUCUUGGCAAAUGGUUGUUGCACUUCCUUCACGUCUUCAGCUUUUGGUUAUUAAUCUACAUGGUAGGGGUCGAUGCCAAACCUCCCGUCAUUACAAGACGGCUUUAAAUAAAUAAAAAAAAUGGUUGUUGCACUGCUUCGUUUUGUUCUUUCCCUUUAUUAUAGGGUAAUGAGCUAAUUAAGGCCAUGUAUUUCCCAUUCUCAUCUCAGAGUGAGAAAAGAAAUACAAGGUAGUGCACGUAUCUUGGAAAAUCUUUUAACUGAAGUUUUUCGCUUGAUUCUUCUGUCACACACACUCACAAAAAUAUUUGUUUACACGUUACGCGUACACCACAAUUCUUUCUUUUUUGGUUACAAAGACGUGCGUUACUUGUAAAUGGGAGCUCCAGGAGAAAAAAAGUAAAACAUGGUAUGGCGUUGUUCUCUUGGAUAUUGUUUUCCUAUUUCAAGUGUGCCCAAAAUUAUUCUAAACAACAUCUUAGGACUUCAGCUUCCAAGUUUUUAGGUGUCUCUACUGUAUGUAUACUAAUUAUAACCUUUUUCUUCAUUUAGAGAAGAAAUUGCCACUUCAUAUGUAGUGAAAAUGCAGAACCUAGCUUCUCAUCUAUCGCAACUGUUUCCGCUGUCCACACUCCUGUCUCUACAAUUAGCAUCCACAGGGAAGAUGUAAAGCUAAUACUACUGCAGCAAUUGAUAAUGAAAUUGAUUUGGUUGAUGAGUUGGAACAUAUGUUUAUACUUUCUGAAGAAAAGGGGAACCCUUGCAAUUACUUGGUUAGUCUGUCUUGCUAGGCAUGCAGGUAUAUAGGACAGUGCUGUCAAAGGAAAGAUCAAGGUACUUAGUAUUUUGCCUCAUCUGAUGUUGUUUCAAAAAAUUUCAUUACCUCUCUUAUAUAGGCAGAAUAUUUUGCACUGGGCUAUAUUACUGUUGGAGAGAGUUGCUAUAUUGGAAAUGUCUGAUAAACCAGUUGCAUUUACGAGGAAGAAACUUAAUCCUAUUUCUAGUGGGGAUGUCAUUUUUGUAUUGCGUUUACUUCUUGUCCUUGCAAUUAAUCUUCAUGCUUUUAGUUAAGAAUCUACUAACCUUGUGCCAUUCACAACAGUGUUAUCAAAGACUCGCUUAAACUUCUAAGAGAUACACAGCUCAGAUUGGGAGCUCCGUGUCACUUAGGUGGUGCUUCGAUGAAGAAGCUAAGGUGCAAGAGAGUGCACCUUCAGGAAAAUCCGCCGACUAACAGUUACAAAGAAAAGGUUAACUUAUGAGGUGCAUAGUGUCUAUCUCGAGGAGGACGAGAGAGAUGAAUGACAGGCGAACACUAUAUUAAUUGUUAAGAGAACAUUUUGGGUAACUAUGUUUGUAAUAAAGAUAUACAAAACUAGUCAAUUGAUUUGAAUCGGUAACUUAUAAGCUUUUGUGUCCACAUUUAUUUUUUCUUGGGUUAUACGUCUUUUUUUAUUUUCCUUAAUUAUGUACCUUUCUAACUUUAUAAGGUAGUGGUAAGGUGCGCAUGCACACUAACCUUCCCAGACCCACUUAUGGAUUAUAAUGGGUUUUUUUUUGUUGUUGUUGUUUCAUUAUGCACCUUCUUUCAGUAAGGUUUCAAUGUAAAGGAAGGAGUAAACAUGAAGUUUCUGAGUCUAUAUCGAUGAUGGAAGCCUUCUGAGAUACUAUUUGAUCAUGAUAUGACUUGGUCAAGAUUGGACUUAAUGAAACACGUAGAGUUUGAUCCUUUGUUCAACUGUUUAUGACUUCAACUUGUGCAGAGUAAUAGGUUUUUCUCCUGUAGAGGUAACCACUGCUGCUGCUUCUGUGGCAAACGUGUCAUUGUACCCGAGGAAGACCUUGAGACUUUUUUGGAAACUGUUGCUGAAUUUUGAGGUAAUUCCCUGUUGUUCUUUAUGGAACUUUUCUUUAUAGAAUUGCUAAUAGAGUUUCAUGCUUCACGUUGUUAUUGCACCUAAGCUGUUAUAUGGAGAACCUAAUGCAAGAACAUCGUAUGCUGAAUAGUGAAAUUGAUCUUCUCUAUAGAACCAUAAACUAGCAAUAUUUUACAUUUGCAAUAUUAUAUGUUUAUUUAUGGGAAAAGGGCCAAGAUAUAUUGUUCACAUUUAUCCUCCGUUAUAAUAUCGGGUCAAAUCUACCCUCAUCGUUAGCAAAGUUUUCAAAUUUGCCCUCUAAUCUAACGAAAAGCCCCCAAAUCUCAAAUUCCUUCUAUUUACUACAAUUUUUUCUCACAAAUAACUUAUCUCCGCGUGUGCUCUAUCAGAUAAGAAAAUAUCCUCGACAAGCUGAUUUCUUAUUCCACUUGAUUAUUUAGAGCAGGAAGACUUGACAAACUUGCCACCUCCAGACAUGAGAACACUAGUAAAUAUUCCUUUGAAAGAAUGUUCGACAUAAAUUUAAACAAAUCAUUUAAUUUAGGAUUUCUCAAACAAUACUAAAGAAUUAUUUGUCACAAAUUUCAUGCAGAAGUGCUUGCGCAAGCAAAAUUUGCAUCAAAUAACAUGCUAAAUCCAAAUCCGAAAGGGAAUGCAUUUACAUGGAUACCUACGGCCUUGUUAUGCUUGUAGUCCAUAAAAAAUAGUAAAUAUUAGUAACUUCAUAAGCGAAUGCAUUUCGACCACCUGAAGAAUCAAAUAAAUCUCUUCCAAAUUAUCUACGGUAUUUCACUCAUCCUCAUUCCGUUAGAGACAUACCCAUAAACUGUGAAUUUUGCGUUUCAUUUAUGGUUUGAGCAUAACCAAAGACAAGGGGAAUAAUUAUGCUGUAACUCCACACUCCCAUUUCUAUAAUAUGAACCUUUUUUCUUCUCUGAUGGAUCACACGUAGGAGAAGACUGAUUUGUGAGAAGAAUUGCGGUAAAUAGAAGGGAUUUGGGGCUUUCCGUUUGGUUAGAAGGCAAAUUUGAAAACUUUGCUAACGGUGAGGGUAGAUUUGAUCCGAUAGUAUAACGGAGAUAAAUAUGAACAGUAGAGGGGUAUAUUUGGCCCUUUUCCCUUUAUUUAUUGACUUACAUUUGUGUGCACCAUAAGAAGUAUGACAAAAGGCUCUAAAGAAUCAAUCACUGGCUUUAAAUGGAAACGAUUGGAAGCAGUCUUCGUUGCAGACUUUGCAUUGAAGAAAUACCGGACAAAGUGACUUGGUGCAGACUAACGUAAGAGUUUCCAAAUCAAGAUAAAUAGCAAUCAGUUCAUUCACCAUCAACAAUCUGAAGUAAGUUACAGGAGUGAACUGCAUUAGAAGGUAUCUGCCAAGACAACAGUUGUUUUUUUAAUUCAAUUGUCAGCCUCUUUUUUCCA
Molecule: long non-coding RNA, 4335 nt
Organism: Nicotiana tabacum (common tobacco)
Lineage: Eukaryota; Viridiplantae; Streptophyta; Magnoliopsida; Solanales; Solanaceae
Source: RefSeq, a predicted model, not a curated record